This 588-nucleotide ribosomal RNA is filed under the name uncultured bacterium. RNAcentral's name for it is "bacterial SSU rRNA". It matches the Rfam family "Bacterial small subunit ribosomal RNA", at positions 338 to 916 of the family's 1533-position model. The record is from RNAcentral.
CCUACGGGAGGCAGCAGUGGGGAAUUUUGGACAAUGGGCGCAAGCCUGAUCCAGCCAUGCCGCGUGUGGGAAGAAGGCCUUCGGGUUGUAAACCACUUUUGUCAGGGAAGAAACGGUCUGAACUAAUACUUUGGACUAAUGACGGUACCUGAAGAAUAAGCACCGGCUAACUACGUGCCAGCAGCCGCGGUAAUACGUAGGGUGCAAGCGUUAAUCGGAAUUACUGGGCGUAAAGCGUGCGCAGGCGGCUUUGCAAGACAGAUGUGAAAUCCCCGGGCUCAACCUGGGAACUGCAUUUGUGACUGCAUGGCUAGAGUACGGUAGAGGGGGAUGGAAUUCCGCGUGUAGCAGUGAAAUGCGUAGAUAUGCGGAGGAACACCGAUGGCGAAGGCAAUCCCCUGGACCUGUACUGACGACUCAUGCACGAAAGCGUGGGGAGCAAACAGGAUUAGAUACCCUGGUAGUCCACGCCCUAAACGAUGUCAACUGGUUGUUGGGAGGGGUUUCUUCUCAGUAACGAAGCUAACGCGUGAAGUUGACCGCCUGGGGAGUACGGCCGCAAGGUUGAAACUCAAAGGAAAUUGACGG